This is a long non-coding RNA of Apodemus sylvaticus (European woodmouse), 1350 nucleotides long. RefSeq lists it as uncharacterized. NCBI's taxonomy places the organism in Eukaryota, Metazoa, Chordata, Mammalia, Rodentia, Muridae. The record is from RefSeq and is a predicted model, not a curated record. The transcript has 2 exons.
UCUCAGGUCCAGCAGACAAGAUCUGCAUAGGUUGGCUGAAAAGUUGACACCGUAUCCAUAAAUGUAUGACCGUAACAUGGACCUCAGAUUUGCCAUGAGGAUUGUGUGGGGCAGAACAUGUGAGGAGCCUCAGUGCUUAUCAAAAGAAAUGUGUGUGUAGAGAGUGAGACUUCCUCUGACACCUCAACAGUGAGACUGUGAGUCUGAGGAGACUAUGUCUGGAGACAAGCUCCUGUCAGUUCUGAGACUCAAGCAGUCCUCGCGGGCAUGAGGGAAAUAUUUGGAAACACUGUUGCUCCCCAGGGAAUUCUACACUGAACUGGGCUGAUGCUGCCCACUUGCCUCUGCACUCUGAUGAGGUGCUUCCACCAACAUCCGUUCACCAACCUGAGAAUAAAUGGCACUCCCCUGUGGAAUAUGUACCCAAAACGCUCAGCGGCAGAUACGCACGAACAUGAAAGCACCUCCAUUCCAAGGAGGACAGGGUGGGGCUGGAGCAAAGCAGAAGAGCUGGGGACAAUGCCAGGGCCUGUUCAGUUUUUCACAGCGGUGGUAAGAGAAGCUUCAAAGUUAAAAGUUAAGGCAAAAUAGUGAUUUGCAGAGAUCUGUGAGCCCUAAAUGUCUUCCUGUCACCUCUGACACUCACAGAAUUAAUUUCUGUCCCUUGGAGAAACUGUUAGCUGUGAGUGACCUACUUUCUAACAUGAAAGGUUUCACUGAGGGGUCUCCCGUCACUAGAGGCUUGAAGACAAGUUAUUCCUAACUCUUGAACAGCUCUACUGUGGGAGAGGACAUAGCUGCUGCAACAGAAAGAUCUCUCCCAGCAUCAUGACACAGAAUGUUCAGGAAUGAUGAAGCGCUCUGUAUCUCUUGUCAGUUGAUAGCCUUGAGUGUAAGUGUGCAACUGAGUAUUUGAAGCACAUUUCUUAGCCUGACUGGGGAGCUGAAUUUUGAAUAUUAAAUUACAAUUAAUUCAGACUCAUCGUAUGUGGCUAGUGGCUCCAGAUACAUAUGAAUAUGUUUCAACUCACACCAUUAAAGAGAAAAGGAAAGGAAAAAUUGCUGUGUAGGUAUUUAAUGUAAUCUUUCUAAAAACACACCCAAAGAAAAACAGUACAUUUUCAAGUGUGGGUAUAAAUGCUUUUGCAUGCAUCAAAAAUGGGCUGAGAUUAGACCCAGUAGACCAAUAGAGUAAUUACUUCUGUGGAAGAGAAGGGAAGGAAACAUCUCUAGGGAGGCCUUUUUGCUUUAUUGGCUUUCUUUGAAUUUUUCAAUGGAGCUGUAUACUUGUAUCAUUUGCAUAAUGCACUGCAAUAAAAAGAAGCAAAAUUAAACGUUUUCUUAGCUAAA